RNAcentral lists this ribosomal RNA (482 nucleotides) under uncultured bacterium. RNAcentral describes it as "bacterial SSU rRNA". It matches the Rfam family "Bacterial small subunit ribosomal RNA", at positions 30 to 506 of the family's 1533-position model. The record is from RNAcentral.
UUGAACGCUGGCGGCAUGCUUUACACAUGCAAGUCGAACGGUAACAGGGAGCUUGCUCCGCUGACGAGUGGCGAACGGGUGAGUAAUGCAUCGGAACGUACCCAGUCGUGGGGGAUAACGUAGCGAAAGUUACGCUAAUACCGCAUACGUCCUGAGGGAGAAAGCGGGGGACCGUAAGGCCUCACGCGAUUGGAGCGGCCGAUGUCGGAUUAGCUAGUUGGUGGGGUAAAGGCCUACCAAGGCGACGAUCCGUAGCGGGUCUGAGAGGAUGAUCCGCCACACUGGGACUGAGACACGGCCCAGACUCCUACGGGAGGCAGCAGUGGGGAAUUUUGGACAAUGGGGGCAACCCUGAUCCAGCCAUGCCGCGUGAGUGAAGAAGGCCUUCGGGUUGUAAAGCUCUUUCAGACGGAAAGAAAACGCACAGGUUAAUACCUUGUGUGGAUGACGGUACCGUAAGAAGAAGCACCGGCUAACUACGU